AAUAUUGGUCAAUGGGCGAUUGCCGGAACCAGCCAAGUAGCGUGAAGGAUGACUGCCCUAUGGGUUGUAAACUUCUUUUAUAAAGGAAUAAAGUCGUGUAUGCAUACUCGUUUGCAUGUACUUUAUGAAUAAGGAUCGGCUAACUCCGUGCCAGCAGCCGCGGUAAUACGGAGGAUCCGAGCUUUUUCCGGAUUUAUUGGGUUUAAAGGGAGCGGAGAUGGAUGGUUAAGUCAGUUGUGAAAGUUUGCGGCUCAACCGUAAAAUUGCAGUUGAUACUGGAUGUCUUGAGUGCAGUUGAGGCAGGCGGAAUUCGUGGUGUAGCGGUGAAAUGCUUAGAUAUCACGAAGAACUCCGAUUGCGAAGGCAGCCUGCUACGCUGCAUCUGACAUUGAGGCUCGAAAGUGUGGGUAUCAAACAGGAU
Molecule: ribosomal RNA, 421 nt
Filed under: uncultured bacterium
Lineage: Bacteria
Description: bacterial SSU rRNA
Rfam family: Bacterial small subunit ribosomal RNA
Source: RNAcentral